GGUUAAGUUAGAAAGGGCGCACGGUGGAUGCCUUGGCACUAGGAGCCGAUGAAGGACGGGACGAACACCGAUAUGCUUCGGGGAGCUGUAAGCAAGCUUUGAUCCGGAGAUUUCCGAAUGGGGAAACCCACCACUCGUAAUGGAGUGGUAUCCAUAUCUGAAUACAUAGGAUAUGAGAAGGCAGACCCGGGGAACUGAAACAUCUAAGUACCCGGAGGAAGAGAAAGCAAAUGCGAUUCCCUGAGUAGCGGCGAGCGAAACGGGACCAGCCCAAACCAAGAGGCUUGCCUCUUGGGGUUGUAGGACACUCUGUACGGAGUUACAAAGGAACGAGGUAGAUGAAGAGGUCUGGAAAGGCCCGCCAUAGGAGGUAACAGCCCUGUAGUCAAAACUUCGUUCUCUCCUGAGUGGAUCCUGAGUACGGCGGAACACGUGAAAUUCCGUCGGAAUCCGGGAGGACCAUCUCCCAAGGCUAAAUACUCCCUAGUGACCGAUAGUGAACCAGUACCGUGAGGGAAAGGUGAAAAGCACCCCGGAAGGGGAGUGAAAGAGAUCCUGAAACCGUGUGCCUACAAGUAGUCAGAGCCCGUUAACGGGUGAUGGCGUGCCUUUUGUAGAAUGAACCGGCGAGUUACGAUCCCGUGCAAGGUUAAGCAGAAGAUGCGGAGCCGCAGCGAAAGCGAGUCUGAAUAGGGCGAAUUGAGUACGUGGUCGUAGACCCGAAACCAGGUGAUCUACCCAUGUCCAGGGUGAAGUUCAGGUAACACUGAAUGGAGGCCCGAACCCACGCACGUUGAAAAGUGCGGGGAUGAGGUGUGGGUAGGGGUGAAAUGCCAAUCGAACCUGGAGAUAGCUGGUUCUCUCCGAAAUAGCUUUAGGGCUAGCCUCAAGGUAAGAGUCUCGGAGGUAGAGCACUGAUUGGACUAGGGGCCCCUACCGGGUUACCGAAUUCAGUCAAACUCCGAAUGCCGAUGACUUAUCCUUGGGAGUCAGACUGCGAGUGAUAAGAUCCGUAGUCGAAAGGGAAACAGCCCAGACCGCCAGCUAAGGUCCCAAAGUAUACGUUAAGUGGAAAAGGAUGUGGAGUUGCUUAGACAACCAGGAUGUUGGCUUAGAAGCAGCCACCAUUUAAAGAGUGCGUAAUAGCUCACUGGUCGAGUGACUCUGCGCCGAAAAUGUACCGGGGCUAAACGUAUCACCGAAGCUGCGGACUGUUCUUCGAACAGUGGUAGGAGAGCGUUCUAAGGGCUGUGAAGCAAGACCGGAAGGACUUGUGGAGCGCUUAGAAGUGAGAAUGCCGGUAUGAGUAGCGAAAGAGGGGUGAGAAUCCCCUCCACCGAAUGCCUAAGGUUUCCUGAGGAAGGCUCGUCCGCUCAGGGUUAGUCGGGACCUAAGCCGAGGCCGAAAGGCGUAGGCGAUGGA
Molecule: ribosomal RNA, 1422 nt
Filed under: Bacillus amyloliquefaciens
Lineage: Bacteria; Bacillati; Bacillota; Bacilli; Caryophanales; Bacillaceae
Also listed under: 1 other name
Description: partial 23S ribosomal RNA
Rfam family: Bacterial large subunit ribosomal RNA
Source: RNAcentral